GGGAGAGUAAAGAAAGAAAGAAGAAAGGAAAAGGAGGAAGAAGAAGAAAGAAGAAAAAAAAUCGACCGUAGAGCUUCACCGGAGCUGGGUCUUGGUAUUUUGAGUUCGGAUUAAUGAUCAGUUUGCCGAGAUCUUCAAUUUGAGGAUUUGGAAGAAGUGUUGAUGAAAAUUUAGAAUAAUUGGAAGUUCUUGAGCAAAAGAAGUAAAAUUUGGGGUUUCAUUCGUGUUCUUAAGAAAGAAGUAAGAAUCUCCUUCUUUCUCUUGAUUUGAUCUUAGAUCUAGGUUGAAGAUAUAUGAUUGGACCUUAGAUGAGUGAUUUGAGUCACCGGAUCGACCCCAAACAAGUUCCCCUAGCUGAAGAGAAGAUGGAGAAGAAAAUUAGAGAAUUUCUUUUCAAGAUUGGGGGGUGUUCCAGGCCCACAUGUCUUUGAGUUUCUAGCCAACCUGAGUUCCUAGAACUCAAUUUCUGGGUUCUGGUGUAACCGACGGACAUGUGUGUUAUGAUUGAAUAUUCAUUAUGUCUUGAUGUAUGUGAUGGAGGAAUCUCAUUUGGACAUGAAAUGCAUGCUAGAUUUUAAAUGUCGUAGUCGGCUUGGAAAUGAGUGCAUGGUGGCUUGUGGAAUGGUUCGCAACUCUUAUUUGAGGCAUAUGUGCACUAUGGUUGUAAGUAGCACAUAGCCUAUGACCUAGUAAUGUUGUUAGGCUAAUAGGAUUAAAAUGAAUUUCAUACGUAUAGGAGCAUAUGUAUAGUGACUGUUUGUGUGAUUUUCCUUACGUGGUCUAAGCGAAUGAGCUCAUCUCACGUGCACAACUCAUUUUGUGUGAUUUUAUGGGUUACCCCCUGGAAGCCAGGAGUUGGGCCCCACUGUAGAGUUUCCCUCUGAGGACUGAUAGGUCCCUGAUGAGUUCGAGCACGGUGUGAGGAUUGUGCUGCAUGGCAGUAUUGACUCCUGAGUGAUUCUUUUUUAUUCUUUUUGAUGUACUCUCUUUUUAUUACUUAAUGCUUAAAUUGUUAUAUUUUUGUGAAUAUAUCAUGCCUUUGGGCCCAAAUGUAUAUAAUUUUUAUAAUUCAAUUUGGAUAUCAAGUAUUCGGAAAAUAAUUAUAGGUAUUAUUACGAACAGGUCUUCUGCUGAAAACACAGGUCUGAUCUUAGUUUAGUAGAUGUUUAGCAGAUGUAUGCUAUAUUGCAGUUACUGUAUUGUUGACCCUAGCAGGUUUGUGAGUUAACCGGAGUUCACUCAGUCACCGACCUGAUUCUGUGCGAGCGGGGUGUGACAUUAUUUAUGUUUAUUUUUUUCGUACAAGCCAUAAUUGCAGUCCCUAGAUUUUUGAAUCAUAAGGACUUCCUCCCUACGAGACCAUAAUCUAUAUGGAUAGGACAAUCAAGGGUGAUAACUUCAACCAAAGCAUGAAAGCCACCAUCACAAAUGAGGAUAGGACAACCCACAUGUGAUAACUUCUGAUAUUCAUCAAAGAUUAAAGAAAAUCAUCGUGUAAGAUUAUCUUACUUUGAUGACCAUUGUAUCUAAAAUCAAUUAAAAACCUCUUAAUCUAUUCAAAUAAAACUUACAUAUUUUUAAGGAUCAAUUUUUCCCACACCUACAGUCAAAGGAGAAUCUCUUGAUGAUGUGUUUAGAUGGUGUCCAUGGAUUUGGCCAGCACAUGCCUUGUAAUACCAUAACCAACUAUAGCACAAUGAAACGUUCAGUUAAAUUAAUUGAACAGUGGCCUACACAGCGGUGGAUGUGCUAGGAUCGAACCAUCCUAAAGACAUAUGCCAACACACACCCCUCCGCCAAAAAUGACUAUUAGCAUGAAGAGAUGGGAAUGCAAGACACCUUAACUUAGAAAACCAUCCAUAAGUGGUUCAGAAGAAAAUAAUCGACAUGAUGAAAAAAAAAAAAAAAAAAAAAAUUGGAAUGGAAACAUUGUCAUAUACAAUACAGCUUAGGGGUUACAGUUAGGACCAUGGAAAAAUACUUUUGUGUAUUUUAAAAAAUUGCUUCCUCUCUCUUGGAGAACCUUUCUUGCAUUGGCGAUUCUACGCUUGUCAACUUUAUCCUUGUCAUGGACCUAGGGUUGUAGCUUUCACUAGUCAAUCACCUAGCGUUACAUCUGAAAUCGGAGACGUAAAGGAAAGCCAGAGACUCUUCAAGUCAAAUCCGUUGGUUUGUCAGUAACAAACUUUGAUCAAGUGGUCAUUAUGGAAAGUUGAACUCGAGCAAAAAAAAAUGAAAAAUUGAGAUAAAAAAUAAGUGUCAUUUACUAAGCAGUUACAAAAGUUAAUGCCAUUUUCUUGUCAGUUUCAAAAGUAAAUAACAUUUCUCCUCUCCAUUAUCAGAACUAGUCAGCUCUUGCUACUAGACAUUAAUUUCUAUGAUUUUGCCCAUCCCUUAGACAGAUGGUUAUCAAUGACAUAUAAUUAGAGCUGAAUUUCAUGUUUGUAAUCUGAACAGAACUAUUCUUUCCUUGUUUUAAGAGGAAAAGUAAUAAAGUGGGUAACUGCUUAUCAAGAAAACAAAAAUAAAUGGAUAACUCACUAUUCUGUUGUAUCUGAGUUGGCAAAGGGAAAUAUUCUAUUUAAGUGGGUGAUGGAGAGGAAAACUGAGAAAUUAACAAAAGAGCAAUAAUUCAAGCUCAGAAUGGGUAGUUUUAGAAGUAUCAUUCCUGUUCUGAUCAUUGUUACUAUGAUGAUGGAGGACUCAUCACCUAGGGUUUGUGGGUGCUUCACUACUCCAAGAAUACAUGUAAGACUGCAAAACAAAUUGGGUGACGGAAAGAGAUUGUAUUUGCAUUGUGCAUCAGGCCAUCAGCUGACGAUAUCUUGGAAAGCAAUCACUGGACUUCAAUCAGGAAUAUACAUGGACCUUCUGUCAAAAUGUUUGGACUUCUACUCUCUUCUACUGUGACUUCUGGUAUGCAAGGGAUGGAAAAAAAGUAAGCACUCAUGGAGAUGUUUAUUUUGCAGAAAGAGAUCAAUGCACGGACUGUACGUCUCUUGUUGAACCACAAGGGGUUUAUGUAGUAGACACAAAGAACCCUAGCGACUCCAAACUUGUAGCAAAAUGGCCUUAGAUCCAUUGCUUUGACCAAUUAUAUUAUGUUAUAAAUGGUCGUUUCUUAAUAAAUAUAUGGAUCAUUGGUUUGAAACUGUUUUAAUUUGUUUUGAAGGUCCA
Macadamia integrifolia is the source of this 3177-nucleotide long non-coding RNA. RefSeq lists it as uncharacterized. The record is from RefSeq and is a predicted model, not a curated record. Lineage: Eukaryota; Viridiplantae; Streptophyta; Magnoliopsida; Proteales; Proteaceae. The transcript is spliced from 2 exons.